Molecule: long non-coding RNA, 666 nt
Filed under: Homo sapiens (human)
Lineage: Eukaryota; Metazoa; Chordata; Mammalia; Primates; Hominidae
Description: HSALNT0018331
Source: RNAcentral
GUAGGUGACUGCGGUAUUACCAGGGGCGCACAAAGUGGGUGUUGCCCUUUGUUUCCCAAGUAAUUGUUUUAAAGCAAGGAUUUGAUGAUGAGACAUCGUCUGCUACAGGAUUUGCAGGGAAACAUGGAGUAUCACUUUGGGCCUAUUUUCUAAGAGAAUGGCCUGAAGAGAAUAGAUUCAAGUUUUCUCCCAGAAAAGCCUCUGCUUCAGGAGCAGGGCAUAGCUGGCACCAAGGAAAGGAAGACUCCUAAUAGAAAACACCUGAAGCUGGUGAGCAGCCGCUUCCUGGAACACUCUACUGGUAAGGGGAGAAAUGCCUCAAAUGAGCAUGUGCACAACUUCAGUAAACAUGCUGUGCAUGUGGCCCCUCCCAAGUGCCCGCAGGCCACCACACAAGUGGACAGCCCUGGACAGCCCGCCCCUAGGGAAGAAUCAAGGGAGGAGAAACAGAAGCCCUGGAACUGUGCUAGCAUAUAAAACCCCAAGUCAAGGGCUGAAUGGCACACUUGGAUCUCUCAAGUCACCUGCUUGGCCCCCUUCCAAGUGUAUUUACUUCCAUUUGUUCCUGCUCUAAAACUUUUUAAUAAACUUUCACUCCUGCUCUAAAACUUGCCUCGGUCUCUCCCUCUGCCUUAAAACUACUUCUGCCCCCGCAGCCGAAUUCUU